Molecule: ribosomal RNA, 1522 nt
Filed under: Escherichia coli
Lineage: Bacteria; Pseudomonadati; Pseudomonadota; Gammaproteobacteria; Enterobacterales; Enterobacteriaceae
Also listed under: 13 other names
Description: bacterial SSU rRNA
Rfam family: Bacterial small subunit ribosomal RNA
Source: RNAcentral
AGAGUUUGAUCAUGGCUCAGAUUGAACGCUGGCGGCAGGCCUAACACAUGCAAGUCGAACGGUAACAGGAAGCAGCUUGCUGCUUCGCUGACGAGUGGCGGACGGGUGAGUAAUGUCUGGGAAGCUGCCUGAUGGAGGGGGAUAACUACUGGAAACGGUAGCUAAUACCGCAUAAUGUCGCAAGACCAAAGAGGGGGACCUUCGGGCCUCUUGCCAUCGGAUGUGCCCAGAUGGGAUUAGCUUGUUGGUGGGGUAACGGCUCACCAAGGCGACGAUCCCUAGCUGGUCUGAGAGGAUGACCAGCCACACUGGAACUGAGACACGGUCCAGACUCCUACGGGAGGCAGCAGUGGGGAAUAUUGCACAAUGGGCGCAAGCCUGAUGCAGCCAUGCCGCGUGUAUGAAGAAGGCCUUCGGGUUGUAAAGUACUUUCAGCGGGGAGGAAGGGAGUAAAGUUAAUACCUUUGCUCAUUGACGUUACCCGCAGAAGAAGCACCGGCUAACUCCGUGCCAGCAGCCGCGGUAAUACGGAGGGUGCAAGCGUUAAUCGGAAUUACUGGGCGUAAAGCGCACGCAGGCGGUUUGUUAAGUCAGAUGUGAAAUCCCCGGGCUCAACCUGGGAACUGCAUCUGAUACUGGCAAGCUUGAGUCUCGUAGAGGGGGGUAGAAUUCCAGGUGUAGCGGUGAAAUGCGUAGAGAUCUGGAGGAAUACCGGUGGCGAAGGCGGCCCCCUGGACGAAGACUGACGCUCAGGUGCGAAAGCGUGGGGAGCAAACAGGAUUAGAUACCCUGGUAGUCCACGCCGUAAACGAUGUCGACUUGGAGGUUGUGCCCUUGAGGCGUGGCUUCCGGAGCUAACGCGUUAAGUCGACCGCCUGGGGAGUACGGCCGCAAGGUUAAAACUCAAAUGAAUUGACGGGGGCCCGCACAAGCGGUGGAGCAUGUGGUUUAAUUCGAUGCAACGCGAAGAACCUUACCUGGUCUUGACAUCCACGGAAGUUUUCAGAGAUGAGAAUGUGCCUUCGGGAACCGUGAGACAGGUGCUGCAUGGCUGUCGUCAGCUCGUGUUGUGAAAUGUUGGGUUAAGUCCCGCAACGAGCGCAACCCUUAUCCUUUGUUGCCAGCGGUCCGGCCGGGAACUCAAAGGAGACUGCCAGUGAUAAACUGGAGGAAGGUGGGGAUGACGUCAAGUCAUCAUGGCCCUUACGACCAGGGCUACACACGUGCUACAAUGGCGCAUACAAAGAGAAGCGACCUCGCGAGAGCAAGCGGACCUCAUAAAGUGCGUCGUAGUCCGGAUUGGAGUCUGCAACUCGACUCCAUGAAGUCGGAAUCGCUAGUAAUCGUGGAUCAGAAUGCCACGGUGAAUACGUUCCCGGGCCUUGUACACACCGCCCGUCACACCAUGGGAGUGGGUUGCAAAAGAAGUAGGUAGCUUAACCUUCGGGAGGGCGCUUACCACUUUGUGAUUCAUGACUGGGGUGAAGUCGUAACAAGGUAACCGUAGGGGAACCUGCGGUUG